This 470-nucleotide ribosomal RNA is filed under the name uncultured bacterium. RNAcentral's name for it is "bacterial SSU rRNA". It matches the Rfam family "Bacterial small subunit ribosomal RNA", at positions 328 to 793 of the family's 1533-position model. The record is from RNAcentral.
CGCUAACACUCCUACGGGAGGCAGCAGUGAGGAAUCUUGCGCAAUGGAGGAAACUCUGACGCAGCCACGGCCGCGUGCCGGAAGACGGCCCUAUGGGUUGUAAACGGCUUUUAUUUGGGAAGAACCUGGGGGAUUUGUCCCCCACUGACGGUACCAAUUGAACAAGCACCGGCUAACUCCGUGCCAGCAGCCGCGGUAAUACGGAGGGUGCAAGCGUUGUCCGGAAUCAUUGGGUGUAAAGGGGUGCGCAGGCUGGCGCCUAAGUCGGAGGUGAAAUCUUGCCGCUUAACGGUAAAAUUGCCCCCGAUACUGGGUGUCUUGAAUCUGACAGAGGUCGGUGGAAUUCGUGGUGUAGCGGUGAAAUGCAUAGAUAUCACGAAGAACAUCAGUGGCGAAGGCGGCCGGCUGGGUCAGUAUUGACGCUGAGGCACGAGAGCGUGGGGAGCGAACAGGAUUAGAUACCCUGGUAG